CGCGUGAACAACUUGACCUUCAGAGGGGGAUAACAGCGAGAAAUCGGUGCUAAUACCGCAUGAGACCACAAGCCCGCAUGGGGAAGGGGUCAAAGGAGGAAUCCGCUGAAGGAGAGGUUCGCGUCCCAUUAGGUAGUUGGCGGGAUAACAGCCCACCAAGCCGACGAUGGGUAGCCGAGCUGAGAGGCUGAUCGGCCACACUGGAACUGAGACACGGUCCAGACUCCUACGGGAGGCAGCAGUGGGGAAUAUUGGGCAAUGGGCGAAAGCCUGACCCAGCAACGCCGCGUGAGGGAAGAAGGUUUUCGGAUUGUAAACCUCUGUCGCAGAAGACGAAGGAAGUGACGGUAUUCUGUGAGGAAGCCCCGGCUAACUACGUGCCAGCAGCCGCGGUAAUACGUAGGGGGCGAGCGUUGUCCGGAAUUACUGGGCGUAAAGGGUGCGUAGGCGGUUAAUUAAGUUGGAUGUGAAAUUCCCGGGCUUAACUUGGGAGCUGCAUUCAAAA
This 505-nucleotide ribosomal RNA is filed under the name uncultured bacterium. RNAcentral describes it as "bacterial SSU rRNA". It matches the Rfam family "Bacterial small subunit ribosomal RNA", at positions 114 to 632 of the family's 1533-position model. The record is from RNAcentral.